Molecule: long non-coding RNA, 895 nt
Organism: Eptesicus fuscus (big brown bat)
Lineage: Eukaryota; Metazoa; Chordata; Mammalia; Chiroptera; Vespertilionidae
Exons: 3
Source: RefSeq, a predicted model, not a curated record
AUGAACACUUGAGUGAAUGAACAAACGAAUGAAUGAGUGUUAACAGGAAGGAAGGAGAUGGCUCUUCUGCUGUUUGAUCGGCCCUGUCCAACCCAGGAAUGACUGAAGGCCUUUAACAGCCUCCCAGGUGAGUGGUGCACCUGGAUGCCUGAGGGCUGGGAGGCUGCCCCUGACCUGCCAUCCAGAACUCUGGCAGAGGAGGUGGCCAGACUAAGACAAACUGUGCUGGAGCUUCUGGGGCAAUGCCUACAAGUGGAAUGAAGGUCCCCAAAGAUCUUCUCUCUCCUGUCAGCCAACCGAGGGGGUCAGCCAAGUAGGUUAACCUGCUCCUCCCCGCGAGAUGUGAAGAUGUUUCUCUAACCCCUUGGACAUGAGCUGAUCUUGUGACUUGCCUUGGCCAAUAGAAGAUGAUAGAUGUGAUGAUACGCUAGUCCAAGCCUAGGCCGCAAGAGUCCUUACUUGGUCAGGAACUUACAGAAGGCAUGGGGAGAUGGCUUGGCAUUGCUCCCACAUAUCUCUGGGCCUUCAAAUGGGAAGACUUGAGUGGCAAGGGUUGGAGUCCUCUGGAAGCUUCUUGGGUCACAUAUGGCUGGUGCCUGUGCAAGGUUGGGCUCAGCUCUGACUGUCAGCAUCAACAUGUGGCCUGUCCACAGUAUGAUGGCUUCAUAGCAAUCAGACUUUUAAUGUGGUGGCUCCUAAUGGGAUGAAAGUUGCAUGGCCUGCCCUAGCCGGUUUGGCUCAGUGGAUAGAGCGUCCGCCUGUGGACUCAGGGGUCCCAGGUUCGAUUCCGGUCAGGGGCAUGUGCCUUGGUUGCGGGCACAUCCCCAGUGGGGGGUGUGCAGGAGGCAGGUGAUUGAUGUUUCUCUCUCAUCCAUGUUUCUAACUCUCUCUCUCC